RNAcentral lists this long non-coding RNA (1130 nucleotides) under Aedes aegypti (yellow fever mosquito). RNAcentral's name for it is "lncRNA AAEL026399". Lineage: Eukaryota; Metazoa; Arthropoda; Insecta; Diptera; Culicidae. The record is from RNAcentral.
CCUACUUGAAUGGCAAUGCACACGGGAAAAAAUCUGAUCCCAUUAUCAUGAUUUACGAAUCAUGAAAAUUAUAAAUUGCUCUUGGGACGAAAUCAUGAUUCAGACUCAUGAUUUUUGAAGCUGAGCUACCACUAUCAUGAUUCAGAGCAACCAUUUUCAUGAGCUCCAAAUCAUGACCAUGAAAAGCGUUACGCACACGGUGCACCUGUCAAAACGUGUUUAGCAAAGCUUGUGCAAAGCAUAGUUGGCUGCGCAUUCACGGAAAAGUUGCCCUUUUUUUAAAAAAAAAGUUCACUUUUAUUGCCGGUUUCCUGCGCCGCUGUUGCUCUACUGUCGUUCCUGCUCUACUAUUCCGUUCCUGCUCCGUUGAUAUCGAGCUAUUCCGGCUCUGCAGAACUACCGCCGUUUCAUUCUGUUCCUUUCCUGCCGUGGCUGUUGCCCAUUCCGGCUCCUGUGUACCCGUUCCGGCUCCGCAUUGAGGGAAAAUUCAUCCGGCUCCGCUCUACUAACUACCGCCGUUUUAUUGUCCCAGUGCCACUGUCGCCAUUCCCGCCGCGGCUGUUGCCGUCCAAUAGGUGCAUCCGUUCCGGCUCCGCAUUGAGUGACCAGCUCCGCCCUACCAACUACCGCUCCCGAUUUUGUUGCCGUUCCGGACGUUUCGUUUUCAGCCUUGGCUGGUUCCGCCCAGUAGGUGUUCCCGUUCUGACUUCCCCCACAACUACCGAACGCAGGAGAUAUAGAAGGGAGGACCGAGCGGCGACUGAACCAUCUCCGCGAAAAAUUUGGGGAAUCAUCGCUACAACCUCAAAUUGUCGCAGUGGGCACGAGCAACUCAACAAAAGCAACGAUGGUUAUUUUUGGCGGCGCGGAGUAUAUCGCAGAUAAUAUUGUGUAUGCAUUUGUAUGCAUAUCACUUAUGUGCUAAAUUUGCGAUAUACUCCGGACUGCAAACCGCUGUGGCUCUUUGUUCAGUCAUACCUGUUCAAAAUCCCGGCGUCCAUUAUUGAGCUCCCGAAGAGCACACGUGAUUUCCUAAAAGGUAUAGAUAAUUAAACUGAAAGAUCGUUUUUUUUUCUUAAAAUAAUCUUUUUUCAAGUGAAAAGAAUAGAAUAAAUGAAUUAAACUCAAAA